Molecule: ribosomal RNA, 327 nt
Filed under: uncultured Methylobacterium sp.
Lineage: Bacteria; Pseudomonadati; Pseudomonadota; Alphaproteobacteria; Hyphomicrobiales; Methylobacteriaceae
Description: bacterial SSU rRNA
Rfam family: Bacterial small subunit ribosomal RNA
Source: RNAcentral
CCUUAGAGUUUGAUCCUGGCUCAGAGCGUACGCUGGCGGCAGGCUUAACACAUGCAAGUCGAGCGGGCCCUUCGGGGUCAGCGGCAGACGGGUGAGUAACGCGUGGGAACGUGCCCUUCGGUUCGGAAUAACCCUGGGAAACUAGGGCUAAUACCGGAUACGCCCCUUGGGGGAAAGGUUUACUGCCGAAGGAUCGGCCCGCGUCUGAUUAGCUAGUUGGUGAGGCAACGGCUCACCAAGGCGACGAUCAGUAGCUGGUCUGAGAGGAUGAUCAGCCACACUGGGACUGAGACACGGCCCAGACUCCUACGGGAGGCAGCAGAAGGG